This 330-nucleotide ribosomal RNA is filed under the name uncultured eukaryote. Its description in RNAcentral is "partial 18S ribosomal RNA". It matches the Rfam family "Eukaryotic small subunit ribosomal RNA", at positions 1469 to 1796 of the family's 1831-position model. The record is from RNAcentral.
UCCCUUAGAUGUUCUGGGCCGCACGCGCGCUACAAUGAUGAAUUCAACGAGUUUAUAACCUUGGUUGAAAAGCCUGGGUAAUCUUUUGAACUUUCGUCGUGAUGGGGCUAGACCCUUGCAAUUAUUGGUCUCCAACGAGGAAUUCCUAGUAAACGCAAGUCAUCAGCUUGUAUUGAUUACGUCCCUGCCCUUUGUACACACCGCCCGUCGCACCUACCGAUUGAAUGGUCCGGUGAAAUCUUCGGAUUGAGACUUUGAUUUCUUCACGGAAAACGCUGUUUUAAGAAGUUGAUUAAACCUUACCAUUUAGAGGAAGGUGAAGUCGUAACA